AAUGAACGCUGGCGGCAGGCCUAACACAUGCAAGUCGAACGGGUCCUUCGGGAUUAGUGGCGGACGGGUGAGUAACGCGUGGGAACAUACCCAAAGGUACGGAAUAGCCUCGGGAAACUGGGAGUAAUACCGUAUGUGCUCGAAAGAGGAAAGAUUUAUCGCCUUUGGAUUGGCCCGCGUUGGAUUAGGUAGUUGGUGGGGUAAUGGCCUACCAAGCCGACGAUCCAUAGCUGGUUUGAGAGGAUGAUCAGCCACACUGGGGCUGAGACACGGCCCAGACUCCUACGGGAGGCAGCAGUGGGGAAUCUUAGACAAUGGGGGAAACCCUGAUCUAGCCAUGCCGCGUGAUCGAUGAAGGCCUUAGGGUUGUAAAGAUCUUUCAGGUGGGAAGAUAAUGACUGUACCACCAGAAGAAGCCCCGGCUAACUCCGUGCCAGCCGCCGCAGUAA
This 449-nucleotide ribosomal RNA is filed under the name uncultured bacterium. RNAcentral's name for it is "partial 16S ribosomal RNA". It matches the Rfam family "Bacterial small subunit ribosomal RNA", at positions 29 to 523 of the family's 1533-position model. The record is from RNAcentral.